This 915-nucleotide ribosomal RNA is filed under the name uncultured archaeon. RNAcentral's name for it is "bacterial SSU rRNA". It matches the Rfam family "Archaeal small subunit ribosomal RNA", at positions 1 to 922 of the family's 1478-position model. The record is from RNAcentral.
UUCCGGUUGAUCCUGCCGGAGGUCACUGCUAUUGGGAUUCGACUAAGCCAUGCGAGUCGAGAGGGUUCGGCCCUCGGCUGACGGCUCAGUAACACGUGGAUAAUCUGCCCUUAGGUGGAGGAUAAUCUCGGGAAACUGAGGAUAAUACUCCAUAGAUCUAGGAUGCUGGAAUGCAUCUAGAUUGGAAGCUCCGGCGCCUAAGGAUGAGUCUGCGGACUAUCAGGUUGUAGUCAGGGUAAAGGCCUGACUAGCCUACGACGGAUACGGGUUGUGAGAGCAAUAACCCGGAGACGAUAUCUGAGACACGAUAUCGGGCCCUACGGGGCGCAGCAGGCGCGAAAACUUCACACUGUGCGAAAGCGCGAUGAGGGAAUCCCAAGUGUUUGCUCGUAAGAGUAAACUGUUUCUUUGUUUAAAACGCAGAGAGAGUAAGGGCUGGGUAAGACGGGUGCCAGCCGCCGCGGUAAUACCUGCAGCUCAAGUGGUGAUCAUUAUUAUUGGGCCUAAAACGUCCGUAGCCGGUUUAGUAAAUGCCUGGGUAAAUCGUGUAGCUUAACUAUACGACUUCCGGGUAGACUGCUAAACUUGAGACCGGGAGAGGCUAGAGGUACUCCUGGGGUAGAGGUGAAAUUCUGUAAUCCUAGGGGGACCACCAGUGGCGAAGGCGUCUAGCUAGAACGGGUCUGACGGUGAGGGACGAAGCCCUGGGGCGCAAACCGGAUUAGAUACCCGGGUAGUCCAGGGUGUAAACGCUGCUUGCUUGAUGUUAGUUGAGCUUCGAGCCCAACUAGUGUCGGAGAGAAGUUGUUAAGCAAGCUGCCUGGGAAGUACGGUCGCAAGGCUGAAACUUAAAGGAAUUGGCGGGGGAGCACAGCAACGGGUGGAGCGUGCGGUUUAAUUGGAUUCAACGCCGGA